AGGUUCUCUGAGGUUUUUGUUUCCUGUUGGGAGAAAGGAAGAAGGGAAUGGGGACCAUAGAGGCAGUCCAUAUGGAUAGAUGCCUGGAGUGAUGUUGUGAGCUCAGACCAGUCCUGGUGGGGACAGUUGUAUGGCCUCUGGAAGACUCCUGAAGCAGUCAUCUGUGGAGAUCCGUGAGAGGACAUGGAUCAGGGGCAAGCUGGUCACUCUUCCGUUUCCCUGGCUGUCUCCAUUGGCUCUGGUUCUUCAGUAUGAGGGUGGACACAUGGGCUGAGAUGGGACUCUGUGUAGUGUCUAUACAGAUUGCAGAGCCAACCAGGACUGAUGAUCAAGCAAACACGAUGCCCCUCCCUCUUUCUUCUCACCUGCUGGGGGUUUGGGGUAAUUCAUGAUCAGACUGUUAGGGGAGGCUUGGCAACCCCAAACUAAGUGUCUUCAAGGCAGAGAGCCUCUCGCUAGGCCCUCUGAACACAGGCACACAAGCUUAUGGGUGAAGACGUCUGUUUCUCCUUAAUAAGAACCAUGCUGUGGGUAUUUAGUGUCUACUAGAGGGGCUCAUCUGUGGGCACUUCCUCCCUCUCCACCCUCCGCUUCCAAUUUCCUGUUUUAAGCAGUGGAGGGCCCAGGAGGCUAAGGCUCUGAAAGAAAGGAUGCCAGCAGGCCCCACUGGAAUGAGCCGGCUCUAGAGGCUCCUACCCGCCUCCCUAAUCAGGAUGCUCCUGCAGGAAACAGGCGGGCUUGCUUCCCAGCUGGGCUCAAUGCUGGGGGUAGGGAUGGUGGACAUUCUUGCAUAUGUAGGGAUGGCUGCCUUCUCUGGUUCAUGACUUUCCUCAGCCCUCACCUAGUCAGCCCACUUCCCUGACCAAGUGGGAAUCUGGGACAUCGAAUAGGCAACCCAGCUUGGGCUCCAAUUUGGGCACAGUCAGCUGCCCGAGUGACACACUGAGGAUGAGGGCCUAGUCUCCUUCCCGCAGCCUGCAACUGCAAGGCAGCCUAGUGGACUGCUCACUUCAGUUUCCAAAGGGGGAAUCUGCCUGAGACAGCAAGGAAAAAAGUCCUGCCUGGGACUCUGAGUCCUUUUUUUUUUCUGCCACACCUAAGAGGACCAGCUAGAGACUAGUAUCCCUGUGGGGCCUUUUCAGUCUCCUCCUUCCCCAGGUCAAAGCCACUAAUCCAAUGGGUUCUGGCGGUAAGAGAUUAGUCAACUCCCAGAGGGAGCCCUGAAGGCUGGUUCAGGGCAGAGCUGCCAGACCCCACCCCAAAGCCUUUAGAGAAGGAUUCUGAAACGUCUGUGGAUUGGAGCUGUAGAUGUCACUGACCAGCGUUGACAAACAAUGUCAGGCUUUAACUAUGACAACUCCACUUACCUUGUGCAUUUUUGUAUUUUGGUUCUUCUUCUUCUUUUUUUUUUUUUUUUUAAAGAUUAAGCUUUUCCACUUGAUAUUUCAUUUCUAACCUGGUACAGGAAGUUCCUCUCUACUUACCACAUAUCACAUAUCAGGUUCAGGAAAAAUGCACCGGGAAUCAGAGAAAAUGGGAUUUCUUUUCAAUUGAAAAGACAACGACAGUGCUGUUAUUGACCACCCCCAAUAAAACCUGUUGUAGAAACACAUGCUCUGACUCUGGCCUCGAUACAGACAUGUUUCAUGGGCAGCCAGGUGCUUCUCUGGCCCCUUGAGGAAUCGUCUCCAUUACAGCUUCUCAUUCAGGCUCCUGAGGCCCUUAGAGCACUGCCUGUUCCCCUGCUGCCGCCUCAGCGCCACCAGGCAAACUCGGAGGCAGUCUAUGAAACCCAAGAAGGGCAGUGGCUGGAGCCGGAUUGAACUUUGCUGGAACAUUCCUGUAAGCUCUCAGGAGCGGUGGAGCAUGACAGUUGGCUCGGGAUCCCAGGGGCCAAGUUACAACAUCUGAUACAAAUUAUGAAUGAAAUUGUGAGUCUUUGGUCCUGAGGAUGGGCUUGGGCUAGGCCCAGUGCUGAGGACGGGGUAGAGGGCGCUGUGCUGUGCAGAAACGUCUGUUUACAGCUUGCUGUGCACAGGAGCAGCACACUUAAGUCCUUGGCUCUGAGGAUCUGGGACAUCAGAUCCCGAUAAAAGCCACGUCCUGCUAUCUAGUUUACCCUGGUAGAACCUCAGUUGGCUGGAAGCCAACUGCCUGACAGUCAUGAAACCUCAGGCCAUCCACUGAGCUAGCUGCACAAACUUGUCCCUUCACUGAACCUGGAAGGAUGCGCAGAGAUCAUCCUCAUGGUUUAUGGGAAGGUGUCAACUGUCUUUUGUUGUUGGUGGUGGUUUUUUUUGAGACAGGGUCUAACUAUGUAGCUCUUGCUGUCCUGGAACUUGCUCUGUAGACCAGGAUGGCCUUGAACCCAGAGAUCUACCUGCCUCUGCCUCACGAGUGCCAGGAUUAAAGACAUGCACCACU
RNAcentral lists this long non-coding RNA (2424 nucleotides) under Mus musculus (house mouse). RNAcentral describes it as "long non-coding RNA chr4:126312718-126315142". Lineage: Eukaryota; Metazoa; Chordata; Mammalia; Rodentia; Muridae. The record is from RNAcentral.